Molecule: ribosomal RNA, 3289 nt
Filed under: Salmonella enterica subsp. enterica serovar Derby
Lineage: Bacteria; Pseudomonadati; Pseudomonadota; Gammaproteobacteria; Enterobacterales; Enterobacteriaceae
Description: bacterial LSU rRNA
Rfam family: Bacterial large subunit ribosomal RNA
Source: RNAcentral
ACUAAGCGUACACGGUGGAUGCCCUGGCAGUCAGAGGCGAUGAAGGACGUGCUAAUCUGCGAUAAGCGCCGGUAAGGUGAUAUGAACCGUUAUAACCGGCGAUUUCCGAAUGGGGAAACCCAGUGUGAUUCGUCACACUAUCAUUAACUGAAUCCAUAGGUUAAUGAGGCGAACCGGGGGAACUGAAACAUCUAAGUACCCCGAGGAAAAGAAAUCAACCGAGAUUCCCCCAGUAGCGGCGAGCGAACGGGGAGGAGCCCAGAGCCUGAAUCAGCAUGUGUGUUAGUGGAAGCGUCUGGAAAGGCGCGCGAUACAGGGUGACAGCCCCGUACACAAAAGCGCAUGUGUUGUGAGCUCGAUGAGUAGGGCGGGACACGUGGUAUCCUGUCUGAAUAUGGGGGGACCAUCCUCCAAGGCUAAAUACUCCUGACUGACCGAUAGUGAACCAGUACCGUGAGGGAAAGGCGAAAAGAACCCCGGCGAGGGGAGUGAAAAAGAACCUGAAACCGUGUACGUACAAGCAGUGGGAGCCCCACCACUAAGCCAGUGGUGAACUCCACAUACGCAUCCUUUGCUGAGGAUACGGUUAACGGAGCGCAAGCGACGUUCAACCGCAAAAGAAGCAGAGGGGGCUUAGUGGUGGGGUGACUGCGUACCUUUUGUAUAAUGGGUCAGCGACUUAUAUUCUGUAGCAAGGUUAACCGUAUAGGGGAGCCGGAGGGAAACCGAGUCUUAAUUGGGCGUUAAGUUGCAGGGUAUAGACCCGAAACCCGGUGAUCUAGCCAUGGGCAGGUUGGGCGUUAAGUUGCAGGGUAUAGACCCGAAACCCGGUGAUCUAGCCAUGGGCAGGUUGAAGGUUGGGUAACACUAACUGGAGGACCGAACCGACUAAUGUUGAAAAAUUAGCGGAUGACCUGUGGCUGGGGGUGAAAGGCCAAUCAAACCGGGAGAUAGCUGGUUCUCCCCGAAAGCUAUUUAGGUAGCGCCUCGUGAAUUCAUCUCCGGGGGUAGAGCACUGUUUCGGCUAGGGGGCCAUCCCGGCUUACCAACCCGAUGCAAACUGCGAAUACCGGAGAAUGUUAUCACGGGAGACACACGGCGGGUGCUAACGUCCGUCGUGAAGAGGGAAACAACCCAGACCGCCAGCUAAGGUCCCAAAGUCAUGGUUAAGUGGGAAACGAUGUGGGAAGGCCCAGACAGCCAGGAUGUUGGCUUAGAAGCAGCCAUCAUUUAAAGAAAGCGUAAUAGCUCACUGGUCGAGUCGGCCUGCGCGGAAGAUGUAACGGGGCUAAACCAUGCACCGAAGCUGCGGCAGCGANGUAAUAGCUCACUGGUCGAGUCGGCCUGCGCGGAAGAUGUAACGGGGCUAAACCAUGCACCGAAGCUGCGGCAGCGAACGUAUCACUUAAAGCGAUUCAGCGGGUUACGAUUGACGGAGCGAAGCGACGUCAAAGCGUAUACAAAGUCGAGUCGGUUUAAGGAUACGUUCGUUGGGUAGGGGAGCGUUCUGUAAGCCUGUGAAGGUGUGUCGUGAGGCAUGCUGGAGGUAUCAGAAGUGCGAAUGCUGUUGGGUAGGGGAGCGUUCUGUAAGCCUGUGAAGGUGGCCUGUGAGGGUUGCUGGAGGUAUCAGAAGUGCGAAUGCUGACAUAAGUAACGAUAAAGCGGGUGAAAAGCCCGCUCGCCGGAAGACCAAGGGUUCCUGUCCAACGUUAAUCGGGGCAGGGUGAGUCGACCCCUAAGGCGAGGCCGAAAGGCGUAGUCGAUGGGAAACGGGUUAAUAUUCCCGUACUUGGUGUUACUGCGAAGGGGGGACGGAGAAGGCUAUGUUGGCCGGGCGACGGUUGUCCCGGUUUAAGCGUGUAGGUGUGUGUUCCAGGUAAAUCCGGUUCACUUUAACACUGAGGCGUGAUGACGAGGCACUACGGUGCUGAAGCAACAAAUGCCCUGCUUCCAGGAAAAGCCUCUAAGCAUCAGGUAACAUCAAAUCGUACCCCAAACCGACACAGGUGGUCAGGUAGAGAAUACCAAGGCGCUUGAGAGAACUCGGGUGAAGGAACUAGGCAAAAUGGUGCCGUAACUUCGGGAGAAGGCACGCUGACAUGUAGGUGAAGUGAUUUACUCAUGGAGCUGAAGUCAGUCGAAGAUACCAGCUGGCUGCAACUGUUUAUUAAAAACACAGCACUGUGCAAACACGAAAGUGGACGUAUACGGUGUGACGCCUGCCCGGUGCCGGAAGGUUAAUUGAUGGGGUCAGCGCAAGCGAAGCUCCUGAUCGAAGCCCCGGUAAACGGCGGCCGUAACUAUAACGGUCCUAAGGUAGCGAAAUUCCUUGUCGGGUAAGUUCCGACCUGCACGAAUGGCGUAAUGAUGGCCAGGCUGUCUCCACCCGAGACUCAGUGAAAUUGAACUCGCUGUGAAGAUGCAGUGUACCCGCGGCAAGACGGAAAGACCCCGUGAACCUUUACUAUAGCUUGACACUGAACAUUGAGCCUUGAUGUGUAGGAUAGGUGGGAGGCUUUGAAGUGUGGACGCCAGUCUGCAUGGAGCCGGCCUUGAAAUACCACCCUUUAAUGUUUGAUGUUCUAACGUGGACCCGUAAUCCGGGUUGCGGACAGUGUCUGGUGGGUAGUUUGACUGGGGCGGUCUCCUCCUAAAGAGUAACGGAGGAGCACGAAGGUUGGCUAAUCCUGGUCGGACAUCAGGAGGUUAGUGCAAUGGCAUAAGCCAGCUUGACUGCGAGCGUGACGGCGCGAGCAGGUGCGAAAGCAGGUCAUAGUGAUCCGGUGGUUCUGAAUGGAAGGGCCAUCGCUCAACGGAUAAAAGGUACUCCGGGGAUAACAGGCUGAUACCGCCCAAGAGUUCAUAUCGACGGCGGUGUUUGGCACCUCGAUGUCGGCUCAUCACAUCCUGGGGCUGAAGUAGGUCCCAAGGGUAUGGCUGUUCGCCAUUUAAAGUGGUACGCGAGCUGGGUUUAGAACGUCGUGAGACAGUUCGGUCCCUAUCUGCCGUGGGCGCUGGAGAACUGAGGGGGGCUGCUCCUAGUACGAGAGGACCGGAGUGGACGCAUCACUGGUGUUCGGGUUGUCAUGCCAAUGGCACUGCCCGGUAGCUAAAUGCGGAAGAGAUAAGUGCUGAAAGCAUCUAAGCACGAAACUUGCCCCGAGAUGAGUUCUCCCUGAGACUUAAAGUCUCCUGAAGGAACGUUGAAGACGACGACGUUGAUAGGCCGGGUGUGUAAGCGCAGCGAUGCGUUGAGCUAACCGGUACUAAUGAACCGUGAGGCUUAACC